GUAUUCAUACAGGUAAGGGUGUCAUUGCCUGAGAUUAACUGAUGGUUGUGCCACUUAACUAUUCUUCAGGUUAUUGAUCUAUCUACGGUUCACGACUCCUGCAUGCCCAGUGAAGGACAUCAUAAGUGCAGUGCUUGGUGUUUGCUUUAAUUUUGUCUUUGGAUUUGUGGAUUUUAUUCGCCAUGUUGAGCCUUUCAAUAUGCGGCUUGAUGUCUUGGUGUUAUGAAACAUACCAUUGUCUUGGUCCUUUCUACUACUGCACAACGUCAUGGUCCAAACAAUGAAAACCAUGACUGAAAUCAUCAAGCAAUUGACUUCAGACAUGCAUUAAGACACACCUUUAAGACUAGUACCAUGAGAUUGUCACUGCUGUUUUGCGUGAAUAGCGUUCAAUUUAGUCGUUACACAUUUAUUUAGUACUCCUUAAGAAUAACAUGAAACAGUGUGCUCUUAUAUGUUCAAUAUUGUGUCAGGACAAGCCUCUGGCUGCUGAGGUAAAUUACAAAGCACAAGGAUCGAAGAGAUGCGAAGGUGACCAGAAAAGAUGGCUUACAAAAUGUGAUAUCAUUACGUGCACACAGAGUGACACAAUGCUGGAGGUAACCAGAAUGGUGGGAGAAAUAUCUAUGGUGAUCAGCAUAAUAUGAGUGACACAACCGAGUGAAGUUCUCAAGCCAAGAUGUUGAUGGUGUUUGAUGUUUUUGGACCAUUAAUCUUUAGAAAAAUGUUAAGAACAUUCUGUUCUAGUUACUAUUUCAUAUAUUUUUAAGGAUCAUUGAUGUUAAAUGUGAUUUGGACGCAACUCUUGUUGUGCUUGUGAUAUAUUACGAGAUUGUGCAAAAUAUAA
Non-coding RNA from Triticum urartu, 847 nucleotides. NCBI's taxonomy places the organism in Eukaryota, Viridiplantae, Streptophyta, Magnoliopsida, Poales, Poaceae. The record is from RefSeq and is a predicted model, not a curated record.